This 350-nucleotide ribosomal RNA is filed under the name uncultured bacterium. RNAcentral describes it as "bacterial SSU rRNA". It matches the Rfam family "Bacterial small subunit ribosomal RNA", at positions 355 to 697 of the family's 1533-position model. The record is from RNAcentral.
UGGGGAAUAUUGCACAAUGGGCGCAAGCCUGAUGCAGCCAUGCCGCGUGUGUGAAGAAGGCUUUCGGGUUGUAAAGCACUUUCAGUUGGGAGGAAAAGUUUAAGUUUAAUACGCUUAAGCCGUGACGUUACCAACAGAAGAAGCACCGGCUAACUCCGUGCCAGCAGCCGCGGUAAUACGGAGGGUGCAAGCGUUAAUCGGAAUUACUGGGCGUAAAGCGCGCGUAGGUGGUUUGUUAAGCGAGAUGUGAAAGCCCCGGGCUCAACCUGGGAACUGCAUUUCGAACUGGCAGGCUAGAGUAUGGUAGAGGUAAGUGGAAUUUCCUGUGUAGCGGUGAAAUGCGUAGAUAU